Molecule: long non-coding RNA, 1896 nt
Filed under: Anas platyrhynchos platyrhynchos (common mallard)
Lineage: Eukaryota; Metazoa; Chordata; Aves; Anseriformes; Anatidae
Description: lncRNA (ENSAPLG00000028852.1)
Source: RNAcentral
AUGGUGUUCUUCAUAGAGAGAAUAAGCUUUACAACAGUAAAGAGGCUUGGGCUUUGCCAGAAAUUUGGAACAGCUUUCUGUCCAGCAAAAAGUAUUUUUGUAAGAUACCAUUCUUCAAACAGAAUACUUCAAAGGAUAUUUGGGUUUCUUUUUCAUUUGUCCUAAAGACUAAUAGUUCAUUACCUUUUGGCUGAAUUUUGUAAUGUCAACACCUAGAGAAACUUCAAGAAAAAGGCUUUUUACAAGUAAGUAAUGUAUCUACACAUCACAUAUGCCAAAAUGCAUUAAUAGCUGUUAGCUAUUAUACUAGUUAUCCCAUGAGAAGAGAUGCAACAAUGCAUCUUCCCAGAGGUCACCUCUUUCCAGAGUCCAAGCAGAAUAUAAAAUACCAGCAUAUUUAUAACACAUUUUAUAUCAUGUCAUGCUUAACUAUUGCGUGAUACUGACUUUAGACUAUUCUGAUUUUUCUGAAACCCUUUUGGCCAUUACCUAAUUUAGAUUUGGACUGUCACCAGUAUCAAUGAAACUUUGACCUCCACAUCUCUGGAAAGAAGUGAGUGCAGAGUCAUUUCAUAUUAUUGCUCCAUUAAUUGUUUCAAUCCAAUGCUUUUCUCUGUCUAAAAUGCCUGCUUAAAUUUUGUGCUUCUCCUCAUGAGGACAAUAGUACUAGGAUAGACUUGUAGUUUAUUUUUCAGUCCUAGCAUAAUGCUGUUCUUUUUGCAUUUUCAAAGCCAUUUCAAUGCUAUUAUUUUAUAGCAAUAAGAAGUCUCCAAUUUGUAAUCCAUAUAACUUUUGUUGAACAAAAUAACACAAUAUGAAUUUGGUUAACAGUUCUGCUUUUUGAUAAAAGUAGUUAAUUGUACAAAAUGAAAACCUGUCUAGGUGAGACACAGAACACUCCUGGAAACUGGGCUGAACAGCUCUCUCAGUGGCUGAACACCUCAAAAGCAACAUGCUCUUCCAAUCCAGCUAUAUGGCAUAGUUCUUUCACGUUGACUUAAAUAAGCUGAAAAAUGAAACUGCACUGAAGAACACAAGUCUAUCUUCAGCACCCUGCAUACUCAGCAAGGAUCCAUAGAGGGAACAAGCAAAAUAUGUCACAGAUAUUUCAUGCACUAAUGAAGACAGUCAUCCAGUUGGCUACUCAUCCAAGAGUCCACCUGAAAUACAGUAUGGAAUAGAGCAGAACAAGCAGUGAAAUUAGGUCUGUUAUGAAAUGAGAUCUCUAACAAAAUAGUAUAUACUUUCAUCAAAGGAACUGCAUGGUCAAAUAUUGAAGACAAUUAAGGGAUUCCAUGCAUGAUGGUCAGACUUUGCCUGGUACCAGAGCUUCCCAUUCAUCCCAGAGAGCUAGAGGCAAUUAUCUGAGCUUUCUCUUCUUUAAAACCAGUCUUUCUUCUACCAAGAACUUACCAUAGUUCUGGUCAAGGUUUCUCCACAGAAGAUGUCAUCAGACUAAUUUGUUUUGGAAGGUGGAUUAAGAAAAUGAAUACUACCCCAUUGCCCUUAGAUGUUGUCCAAUCUGUCUGCUCCAAGAUUCCUUAGGUCUGAAGGGACUGCACCACCAUCACAUCCCCGACAAGUAUGUUGUCUUGGACUUUCUGCCAUUUUCCCCUCUAGGGGAGGGUGAAAGGGUCACUGCCACUUGUCUUGCUGCUGAUUUCCUUAUGUAAAACAACUUCACCUGGGACCAGAGUUUGCAAAUGUGACUUCCCUUCUGCCCCUCAAACUGUGGAUCUUGAAGUUAGUGCUCCAGUGCUGAAAAGGAAAUGUUUUCCUUGCAAUUAGGUACUGAUUGCACCAAGACCAGGUACUCAAGAUAUUCUUUUCAGACCAGAGGACUUGAAGCUUAUUCUUUAUUUUAAAAUAAAAAACAGAAUUUCUGAUGUAAUUCCA